This is a long non-coding RNA of Hydra vulgaris (swiftwater hydra), 321 nucleotides long. RefSeq lists it as uncharacterized. The record is from RefSeq and is a predicted model, not a curated record. Lineage: Eukaryota; Metazoa; Cnidaria; Hydrozoa; Anthoathecata; Hydridae.
CUUUAAAAUGCUGAGAAUAUUUUCCAACAAUUUUGUGAUCUCCAUAAAUAUGAAGGGGGAAGGUGAAAAUAUGCUUUAAGAGCACUAAUUUAUAUGGUGUAGUGAAAGUUCAUGUAAUUUUUUCAAAAUCGAAUAUGCGGAAAGGAGCUGUUUGGAAUGAAGAUUUACAAGAAGAAGUAAUUCCAUCUAAUUGAAUUAGUGAUAAAAUUGUUUGUCGGCUUCCAGUUACCAAAGCAUUGACUGCACUAAAAUGCAGAGAAGAAUUGGCUUAAGUUUAUACAAAUAAAAACUAAGUUCUCUUCAGAGUAUUUUCGAAAAGUU